GUCCCUGUAGUGCAAUGGAUAGCACGUUGGAUUUUUAAUCCAUAGGUCGUUGCCUCGAAUCGCACCUGGGAUA
Trichonephila clavipes is the source of this 73-nucleotide non-coding RNA. Lineage: Eukaryota; Metazoa; Arthropoda; Arachnida; Araneae; Nephilidae. The record is from the annotation of a GenBank genome assembly.